AGAACACUUAACCUUGCAUAUUUCUCGUUUGAUGAAACAACGUUGAUGUCCAACGCAACCUUAUCAGGCACCUUAGUUCCUGAUAGUAGUAUGCUACCAUUGUGGAGCAGGACUAAUAAUCAAGUGGGGCCAAAUUUUUCGUAGAUAAUAUAAAACCAGCAUUAUAACCAGACUAACCGCAUGUUUGUGGAAGCUAACUACUAGUACUUGAUGGAUAGAUUAUAGACGGGCC
This 232-nucleotide long non-coding RNA is filed under the name Zea mays. RNAcentral describes it as "long non-coding RNA NONZMAT000170". The record is from RNAcentral. Lineage: Eukaryota; Viridiplantae; Streptophyta; Magnoliopsida; Poales; Poaceae.